UGUGUCUUUGUGUGUGUGUUAAUCCUGGGUCACUCUAUUAGUGUGCUUUUUCAUCCUGUGCAACUUGGGAGUCAUUUAUUAGCACCAUCUUCUAAAUCACUUUUUUUUUUUUUUACAACAUACCCUUAACACUAUCAUCUGAUAUUCUUGCCAAGGACUAAAUCUCCAGACCCGAGAUGGAGAGUUUGAAGGAAGUGCCAAGUAUUCUGUCCUCUUGCAGGCGUCUGUCUCGCCAUUCACAACCUGACAUUAAUCUGCUUCCCACUGGCUCUGGGCUCUUACUUGCUUCUCCAGGGCAAUUUUUAUGACCCUACAUUUUUCUGACCUCAUACCUCUGAUGUAAACAUUACUCUCUAUUUUAUUCCUAAUUCUUUGGAGAUAAAAAUCUCUCCAGUCAUUUAUCUUUACCUCAUGGAGACUUUAGGUUUCUGGCUACCCCCAUCACAUUUCUAAUACACCGAGUCACCCCUUCUUUCCUAGAAAGCCUGCUGUUGACCUUCUUUACUAACUUUGAUUACUUACUUUCUGUUCAGUAUUUUGUCCCAUGCAUUUUGUGAUGGGCUGUAAUUUAUUAAAACCUCAUUACCAAAUUCUACUUAUGAAAAUAACAUCCUAAAAUAUAUUUUAAUAAGUAGUUAAAAAUGUUUGAAUAAAUUAUGUUUUCUCAGAGAUACCCUGAGAAAGAUAGAUGGAUGGACAGUGCUCCUGAUUCUCUCCUUUUCAUAGUGUGCAAAACAUUCAGGAGGAGAAAAGCCCAGCUGUAAAAUCAAGGUUUCCAGACCAGGCUAUUUCUAUUUAUAGCACUGAAAAUGGGACAUGAUACUAGCUAUUUCAGAAAAGCCAUUCCAAGAUAUUCACCAAGUUAUACAAAUAUAGACUGAUAUUUUCUCAAUAAGGACAGAUGAAUUCAAGGACAAACAUAUGAGAUCUUACUUAAAGCAGAAAAUGCCAACCAUGGAAGAAGGAGAGCUGAUUAUCAUGCCUUUGACAGGAACAGUAGCUAUGAAUCACAGAACCUAUUAACUUGAACUCUCACAACCUCUUUGUCAACCUCCCAGGCUAUGAAGAAAUCCUCUUCUAACAUGGCUUGCACUUAGCAAUGCUCUCAGUCCCUGUUCUGUUACUGCUGCUGCUGAAGACCAAGCAAACACUGGUCCUGUCUUGGUGACUCUAAUUGUCCUAAUGUACAAGUGAAGAAGGAACCGCUUUCUUGUAAUUUGCCAUUUUGUGGAUUGAGUUCAAUGUUUUAUUGAAAUCAUUUUGAAAGUAGCACCUAUGCCCCAUUGUAGACCUUCACACUUUAAACAUAAUGUCUUUAUAGUGGGUAAAGUGGCUCAGUGGAUAACAUGCUUGCUGUCUAAGUAUGAGAGCUGGAGUUUAGAAUGCUGGCACUUAUGUAAACACCCACACAGGUGUAGGAGCCACCUGUGUUCUCAGCAGUCAGAGGUGGAAACGGAUUCAUUCUCAGACAAGCCUACUGGCAAGACUGAGAAUGAGCAAGUUCUGGCUUAAGAAGGAGACCCUGGCAUAAUUCAUAAAGUAUAGAAUGAUCUAGAAGACAUCCUAUAUCAACCAUCAGCCUCAGUGUGUAUAUACACAUCAACACAGGUGUGAGAAUGUGCAUAAACACACACUUGCAUGCACACCACAAACAUAAGUAAAAUGUUUCAUAUUGCACAUGUCUUAUCUGCUACACAAUCUUGCUCUCCUCUAUUCUCGGCAUACUCUCUUCUUUGUAAACUGUCCUUCCUUAUUCAAAAGUGCUAACAAAUAUAGAUGAACUUCAGCUGUAAAAUAAAUAUUAUCUAGAAAUAAACUGCUCUUUAAUAGAGAUUUUACAGAUCAUUUAUAA
Peromyscus maniculatus bairdii (prairie deer mouse) is the source of this 1852-nucleotide non-coding RNA. NCBI's taxonomy places the organism in Eukaryota, Metazoa, Chordata, Mammalia, Rodentia, Cricetidae. The record is from RefSeq and is a predicted model, not a curated record.